Molecule: ribosomal RNA, 468 nt
Filed under: uncultured bacterium
Lineage: Bacteria
Description: partial 16S ribosomal RNA
Rfam family: Bacterial small subunit ribosomal RNA
Source: RNAcentral
GACGAACGCUGGCGGCGUGCUUAACACAUGCAAGUCGAACGGAAAGGCCCUGCUUUUGUGGGGUGCUCGAGUGGCGAACGGGUGAGUAACACGUGAGUAACCUGCCCUUGACUUUGGGAUAACUUCAGGAAACUGGGGCUAAUACCGGAUAGGAGCUCCUGCUGCAUGGUGGGGGUUGGAAAGUUUCGGCGGUUGGGGAUGGACUCGCGGCUUAUCAGCUUGUUGGUGGGGUAGUGGCUUACCAAGGCUUUGACGGGUAGCCGGCCUGAGAGGGUGACCGGCCACAUUGGGACUGAGAGACGGCCCAGACUGCUACGGGAGGCAGCAGUGGGGAAUAUUGCACAAUGGGCGGAAGCCGGAUGCAGCAGCGCCGCGUGCGGGAUGACGGCCUUCGGGUUGUAAACCGCUUUCGCCUGUGACGAAGCGUGAGUGACGGUAAUGAGUAAAGAAGCACCGGCUAACUACGUG